Molecule: transfer RNA, 67 nt
Filed under: Marmota monax (woodchuck)
Lineage: Eukaryota; Metazoa; Chordata; Mammalia; Rodentia; Sciuridae
Description: tRNA.Ala
Source: RNAcentral
GGAUGUAACUCAGUGGCAGAGCAUUUGCCUAGCAUGCAUAAGGUGCUGGGUUCAAUCCCCUAUACCA